AUUAACGCUAGCGGCAGGCAUAAUACAUGCAAGUUGAACGGCAGCACAGGUAGCAAUACUGGGUGGCGAGUGGCGCACGGGUGCGUAACACGUAUGCAACCUACCCUAUACAGGCGAAUAACCUUUAGAAAUGAGAGCUAAUACGCCGUAGUAUUACAGAUGGGCACCUAUUUGUAAUUAAAGAUUUAUCGGUAUAGGAUGGGCAUGCGUCCCAUUAGUUAGUUGGUAAGGUAACGGCUUACCAAGACGAUGAUGG
RNAcentral lists this ribosomal RNA (256 nucleotides) under uncultured bacterium. RNAcentral describes it as "partial 16S ribosomal RNA". It matches the Rfam family "Bacterial small subunit ribosomal RNA", at positions 29 to 282 of the family's 1533-position model. The record is from RNAcentral.